UGCAAGUCGAGCGGACGGAUGGGAGCUUGCUCCCUGAAGUCAGCGGCGGACGGGUGAGUAACACGUGGGCAACCUGCCUGUAAGACUGGGAUAACUUCGGGAAACCGGAGCUAAUACCGGAUAAUGCAUAACCUCUCAUGAGGUUAUGCUGAAAGAUGGUUUCGGCUAUCACUUACAGAUGGGCCCGCGGCGCAUUAGCUAGUUGGUGAGGUAACGGCUCACCAAGGCAACGAUGCGUAGCCGACCUGAGAGGGUGAUCGGCCACACUGGGACUGAGACACGGCCCAGACUCCUACGGGAGGCAGCAGUAGGGAAUCUUCCGCAAUGGACGAAAGUCUGACGGAGCAACGCCGCGUGAGUGAUGAAGGUUUUCGGAUCGUAAAACUCUGUUGUUAGGGAAGAACAAGUGCCGGAGUAACUGCCGGCACCUUGACGGUACCUAACCAGAAAGCCACGGCUAACUACGUGCCAGCAGCCGCGGUAAUACGUAGGUGGCAAGCGUUGUCCGGAAUUAUUGGGCGUAAAGCGCGCGCAGGCGGUCUCUUAAGUCUGAUGUGAAAGCCCACGGCUCAACCGUGGAGGGUCAUUGGAAACUGGGGGACUUGAGUGC
RNAcentral lists this ribosomal RNA (610 nucleotides) under Bacillus sp. CH142. Its description in RNAcentral is "bacterial SSU rRNA". It matches the Rfam family "Bacterial small subunit ribosomal RNA", at positions 56 to 649 of the family's 1533-position model. The record is from RNAcentral. Lineage: Bacteria; Bacillati; Bacillota; Bacilli; Caryophanales; Bacillaceae.